GCACCUAUUAUGGGAUACACGUUUUUAAACAUCCUUUUGUGUGUAAGUGUGCAUUAGUACAUGCUAACGAUAUUCAAAAAGUACAUACCUCAAAGAAAACGAUGACGCGAGUUAUCGUCUCUAACGUUCGAGGACUACAAAAAACACUCGGAUUGUAGGCAACAGUUUACUUCCUGGGAUUAGUGACGUAGAUAAGACCAACAUUAUCAUAGUUCAGCCCUCUCUGCUUUGCUUGGGUACGCCCUCAAAGACGAGGGUGGGGUGGGGAGCGCCGAGUCAGAAGAGAGCUAAAAUGGCGGAGGUUGUGAGUCCCUGCUUUGACUCUGUUUGCAAACUCUUGUUUCAUUGUUUAAGCGAUUAAAUAUCUCGAGUAGACGCUGUCUCUUUAGAUGCGAGGGCAAAAUAGCACUUUAUGGACUUCCACAGAGGACAUCAUGUUUAAUACGGUUCCGGAAAAAUCCAGUCAGAAGUUGUUCACGGAGUUUUCACAAUAACUGCUUCUCAUGAACCGAAGCUGGAUUUGCGCGACGUCUCCUCUUGAAAGUUGGAUUACUGUGCACUUCUGGAUCACAGACUAUUCGCAGCUGUACACAUCCUUCUACACUGUAUGCAAACAUGCAACAUCAUUACACACAGUACAAGGAGUCAGACUGGCAUAUGAGGAGCAAAGGAACCCAGGCAGUAGCAUCGUUUCACAAUGUUUCCAUCAUCAUCAUCAGUGGAUGCCUUUGCCGUCCGUAGCCUGAGAUUUCAGAUUUGCAGCAAAAAAAAAUGAUUUUCUCAUUUAUUGGAAUGCUGUGCAGGUAUUUGUACCUUGCAGCCAUCCAUUACAAUGUCACCAAGCCGUAACAAAAGCAGGAGAGGGAAAGUACAAGGCUAUGUUCCCAAAACACAAAUGACAUACCUUAUGUGGAGGAUGUGAUCAGGCUUGUGUUUGAUGAGGUAUUUGAAGAUAAGCUGAAGGAAGCCCUGAUUCCAAUGGACCUGGCAUCACAGUUUGAGAGACCUUCAAAGGAGGACGUGAUUGCAUGCCAUCUUCAGUGCAG
Paramisgurnus dabryanus is the source of this 1046-nucleotide long non-coding RNA. RefSeq lists it as uncharacterized. The record is from RefSeq and is a predicted model, not a curated record. NCBI's taxonomy places the organism in Eukaryota, Metazoa, Chordata, Actinopteri, Cypriniformes, Cobitidae.